RNAcentral lists this ribosomal RNA (492 nucleotides) under uncultured bacterium. RNAcentral's name for it is "partial 16S ribosomal RNA". It matches the Rfam family "Bacterial small subunit ribosomal RNA", at positions 28 to 507 of the family's 1533-position model. The record is from RNAcentral.
GAUGAACGCUAGCUACAGGCUUAACACAUGCAAGUCGAGGGGAAACGACAUUGAAAGCUUGCUUUUGAUGGGCGUCGACCGGCGCACGGGUGAGUAACGCGUAUCCAACCUGCCCAUCACUUGGGAAUAACCUUGCGAAAGUAAGACUAAUACCCAAUGACAUCCCACGAAGACAUCUGAAUGGGAUUAAAGAUUUAUCGGUGAUGGAUGGGGAUGCGUCUGAUUAGCUUGUUGGCGGGGUAACGGCCCACCAAGGCAACGAUCAGUAGGGGUUCUGAGAGGAAGGUCCCCCACAUUGGAACUGAGACACGGUCCAAACUCCUACGGGAGGCAGCAGUGAGGAAUAUUGGUCAAUGGGCGAGAGCCUGAACCAGCCAAGUAGCGUGCAGGAUGACGGCCCUAUGGGUUGUAAACUGCUUUUAUAAGGGAAUAAAGUGGGUCUCGUGAGACUUUUUGCAUGUACCUUAUGAAUAAGGACCGGCUAAUUCCGUG